RNAcentral lists this ribosomal RNA (380 nucleotides) under Acanthoscelides obtectus. Its description in RNAcentral is "partial 12S ribosomal RNA". Lineage: Eukaryota; Metazoa; Arthropoda; Insecta; Coleoptera; Chrysomelidae. The record is from RNAcentral.
UUAGAUACCCUAUUAUUAAAAAUGUAAAUUUUUUUUUACUUAAUUAGUAUUAGUUAUGUUCUUGAAAAUUAAAAAAUUUGGCGGUAUUUUAGUCUUUUCAGAGGAACCUGUUCUAUAAUCGAUAGUCCACGAUUAGAUGCACUUUAUUUAUUAGUUUAUAUAUCGUCGUAGUUUAAAUAUUUUAAUAGAAUUAUAAAUAUUUAAAAUUUUUUAUUAAAAAAUAAAUCAGAUCAAGGUGUAGUUUAUAAUAAAGAAGAAAUGGGUUACAAUAAAUUUAUUUGAAAAUAAUUUUUGUUAAAAAAAUUUGAAUUUGGAUUUGAGAGUAAUUUUUUAGAUUUUUUUAAGAUGAUUAAAGCUCUAAAAUAUGUACACAUCGCCCG